RNAcentral lists this ribosomal RNA (254 nucleotides) under uncultured bacterium. RNAcentral describes it as "partial 16S ribosomal RNA". It matches the Rfam family "Bacterial small subunit ribosomal RNA", at positions 524 to 776 of the family's 1533-position model. The record is from RNAcentral.
UACGAAGGGGGCUAGCGUUGCUCGGAAUGACUGGGCGUAAAGGGCGCGUAGGCGGUGAACACAGUUAGGCGUGAAAUUCCCGGGCUCAACCUGGGGGCUGCGUUUAAUACAUGUUCGCUUGAGUUCGGAAGAGGGUCGUGGAAUUCCCAGUGUAGAGGUGAAAUUCGUAGAUAUUGGGAAGAACACCGGUGGCGAAGGCGGCGACCUGGUCCGAUACUGACGCUGAGGCGCGAAAGACGUGGGGAGCAAACAGG